This 396-nucleotide ribosomal RNA is filed under the name uncultured Acidobacteriota bacterium. RNAcentral's name for it is "bacterial SSU rRNA". It matches the Rfam family "Bacterial small subunit ribosomal RNA", at positions 975 to 1375 of the family's 1533-position model. The record is from RNAcentral. Lineage: Bacteria; Pseudomonadati; Acidobacteriota.
CUGGGCUCGAACGGCUUAAGAACAGCUGUGGAAACACGGCCUUCCCGCAAGGGACUUGAGUCGAGGUGCUGCAUGGCUGUCGUCAGCUCGUGUCGUGAGAUGUUGGGUUAAGUCCCGCAACGAGCGCAACCCUUGUCCUGUGUUGCAACUAAUAGGCACUCUCAGGAGACCGCCAGCGAUAAGUUGGAGGAAGGUGGGGAUGACGUCAAGUCAUCAUGGCCUUUAUGUCCAGGGCUACACACGUGCUACAAUGGGCGGUACAAAGCGCUGCCAACCCGCGAGGGGGAGCUAAUCGCAAAAAACCGUCCUCAGUUCGGAUCGCAGGCUGCAACUCGCCUGCGUGAAGCUGGAAUCGCUAGUAAUGCUAUAUCAGAACGAUAGCGUGAAUACGUUCCC